CUACUUUGAAGUGAUUAUGAAAAAAUAAGAAGGCUUCUGCCAGGAGAUUUGAGAAGGAACAAGUUUAGAGGAGACACUCUUGUUUCCAAGGAGUGAGGCUCCUCUUGAAGCUGUGUGACAGUGCAGAUCCUGGCACAGAAAGAGUGGUGCAGGGGCCCUUGCUUGGCGCCUUUUAUUUUGUUCUGUGCCAGCACCAUGCUGUCUUCUGCUCUGCCCAGCAAGCUCAUGGGCCACCUGGGAUUCCCGUCACUCAGUGCCCAGAAUCCUGGGGCCACAUUGUGACUGCAUCUCCAUUGUGACUUUACAUGAGGACAUUGCCUUAGUGUUUGGGAAGAGACGCUUUCUGCUUCUUAUUCCACCACAGGCUUUCUGUGUGGGCAUGGACAAGCCAUUAGAGGCUCUAGGCCUCUGUCGUGUUUCAUAUGUUAGAGGCUGGGGCUCCUUUGAGCUCCACAUUUUCAUGAAUGUGUGAAUCUUGUGAGUCAGAAGUCUGACUCAGGGACUGAGCACUUGAAGCUAAUCUCUGUAUGCUUUGCCUCAGGAAGAAAGACCAAGGACCUAAGCAAGAAAUGAGAAUGGGCAGGAGGCCCAAUGUGCUCUGUGAAGGGGGUUGGAUUCAAACAGAUCUGACUGCAAGCCAGCUACACAAUAUAAUAGCUCUGAACUCAGGGUCCUUGCUCUCCCCAAGCCUCCAUUUCCUCUUUGACAAAGUUGGACCAUGAUACUUACCUCAGAAUCAGCUCUGAAGAUUAAAGGAGAAGAUGUUGGGCAACGUGUCAAACACUGUGCCGGGCACACAAAGUGCAGAAGAAAGGUUAAUUUCCAUCCUACCCCUGUUCCUCCCCAUCUCCUUGAGGUGUCAGAAUUGAAGUCAUAAAAGGAGAAAGCAAAAUCAGUAACCAGUAGCAGAAGACGGGGAGUUAAGGAGAAAAAUGAGAAGCCAUCUGACUUCAUUAUGAUAGAGAAUUUUGCUCUUUUGAAGGCAGCUUUGGGAAGAUGAGAUCCAUAUGUUCUUCUUCAUCUAUGGUAGAAUUUCUUGAAGAUAUCAGAACCACAACGAGAGAGUAGUACCGGUAUUAGCCACUGCUCACUGAGCCAAGUUGUGGACUUACUGAUACACUUAGACCAGCUCUACACCCAACAAUAGCUUGGCACUGCCUUCAUAAAGAAACAUGCCAAAACUGAGAUACCCAAGAAGGAAUAAAGCUGGGAUUGGAGCUGUUUGAUUCUAACACUACCUGGGUGGUAUUCACUAGUCCUACUGUACCUCUGUUAAAUACAUACUGCACAACCACAAUAAUCUUUUGAGUGAAUUGCAAGCUAACCCUUUGGCUUUAUGUGGGGGCUUUACCUAAAAUGGAUUCUGGUGGAAAUGGCAGUUCCCUUUUGCAUGCCCCAAAUCUGGCACACAGUAGCUGCCUUCUUACUGAGUACCAAACAUAUAAAUAGACAAUGAGAUAAAUCAAACUUAAAUAGGCCACCAGGGUAAAACCACACCUCACCCAAAGACAGAGCCAAAGUACGUGCCCUUCCUCACUGCCUGCAAAUGCCAUCUGGUCAGAGGAGCUCAGCACCUCUGUCCAGGGCUUGAGAGCAGGAAAUGAAGGUCAACUUCCUGUCAUGGAGGCAGAGAAUAUUCCAUAAACCACACUUAAUUUCCAAGGUGAGUUUUGACCUGAACAUGAGAGUGAUCUCUCACAGGUGCAUGAAGUUUUCAAGAAUGGAUGCAGAGCUGACCCUCACUCACUUUUCUACUCACAGCCAAUGGAUCCAUGUUGGCCAACCUGAUGUUAGGCAGCUUUUUCGGUGGACCUGCCGUCUAG
This 1823-nucleotide long non-coding RNA is filed under the name Heterocephalus glaber (naked mole-rat). Its description in RNAcentral is "lncRNA (ENSHGLG00000039992.1)". Lineage: Eukaryota; Metazoa; Chordata; Mammalia; Rodentia; Bathyergidae. The record is from RNAcentral.